Thunnus maccoyii (southern bluefin tuna) is the source of this 1043-nucleotide long non-coding RNA. RefSeq lists it as uncharacterized. The record is from RefSeq and is a predicted model, not a curated record. The transcript has 3 exons. Lineage: Eukaryota; Metazoa; Chordata; Actinopteri; Scombriformes; Scombridae.
GUUAAAUUAACUAAUGCUUUUCAUUGAACUAUUAGUGUCAAUGGUUGGUACCUGCAGAGCACUCUGCUGAGUUUUUAUUCAAUUUCAAUUUCUAAGUGGACUUUUUUUCACAAAGCAUACUAGAACAUUUUGAUAAGGCAGCUUUUCGGAAGAUUCAUAUCACAGCUGACAAACUGCUAAUUGUGGUGUUAUAGACUGUCUACUUUAUGUUUAAAUAAGCCUCAUAUAGUGAUGUAGACCACUGUCUAUUUUGUAUUUGAUAGGCCUUGUAGUGUUGUAGACUGUUGUGUCUAUUUUAUGUUUAUUUUAUUCCUGUGUAAGAAAGACAUGGUACUGAGACGGUGCACUUGCCUGUCGCUGUCUAUCAAUGGUGGUGUUGAACUGUUUGUCAUUCGAUGCACAUAGAGCGCAGCUGGCAAACAACACGCUGUUGAAUUUUGACAAUAUUUAAAACAAGAUGUUAAGUGACAAUAUCUGCAUGAAGGUGUUAUUGUCAUGGUGAUGUUUGUUUUGGUGCUUGGUUUUGUGUUUGGGGAUGUUCUGUGUUUUCUUUUUCCCCCUCCCUCUUUCUGUUUCUCUCCCUGGCAGUGUGUGUGCAGCUGAGGGUGUGGCUGGCUGAGUGGGGCCUUCACUAUGAGGCACACCUGGUGCUCAUCGCUAAUCACUCCUGCCAUAAAAGCCUGGUCAAGACACCACUCCUGUGCCAGAUUAUCCCGUUGCAGUCGUUUUCAGGUGUGCCUCACCUACAGUCUCCAGUGCUACUGUUUUUCUGGUGCUCAGCCUCAGCAGAUCUCCUGGUCAAUUUGCCACCUCACCUGCAAUGCAGCCAGCCCUCAGCCACCACCUCCACCCUUUGGCUUUUUUUCAUUGAGACAUUAUUCUUUCAAUAAACACCCAAAGAACUGUCCUUGCCUCUGUCUCUGCAUUUUGGAAUCCAAACACCAAAACUUAAAACACAAUAGAUGAAGAGGAACUUCAAGAUAUCUAGAAGCAUUCUCCCAAGAGAGAUCUGCAGUGGCCCCAGGUGAGAGUUGGCUGUGAAC